This 405-nucleotide ribosomal RNA is filed under the name uncultured bacterium. RNAcentral describes it as "bacterial SSU rRNA". It matches the Rfam family "Bacterial small subunit ribosomal RNA", at positions 355 to 774 of the family's 1533-position model. The record is from RNAcentral.
UGGGGAAUAUUGCGCAAUGGGGGAAACCCUGACGCAGCAACGCCGCGUGGAGGAAGAAGGUCUUCGGAUUGUAAACUCCUGUCUUUUGGGACGAAAAAAAUGACGGUACCAAAGGAGGAAGCCACGGCUAACUACGUGCCAGCAGCCGCGGUAAUACGUAGGUGGCAAGCGUUGUCCGGAAUUACUGGGCGUAAAGGGCGCGUAGGCGGCACCUUAAGUCAGAUGUGAAAACCCAGGGCUUAACCUUGGGACUGCAUUUGAAACUGAGGAGCUAGAGUGCCGGAGAGGAAAGCGGAAUUCCUAGUGUAGCGGUGAAAUGCGUAGAUAUUAGGAGGAACACCAGUGGCGAAGGCGGCUUUCUGGACGGUAACUGACGCUGAGGCGCGAAAGCGUGGGGAGCAAACA